AUGUGCUCAGUUAAGUUUUAUUCGUGCUUCUUACAUUCUCUGUGUGUCUUCCCUUCCUCUUCUACCCUUCUCUCCCCAGAUUUGUGGACCAGAGAAGUGUCAGAUUUAUGUUUCUGGCCCCAACCUGGUAUUGCUCCACUGCUGGGAAUAUGCUUCUAUCCUUUGAAAACACUAAGAAUAAUGUCCCUGCAUCAGUUUUUACUGGAGCCAAUCACCUGUCAUGCCUGGAACAGGGAUCGUACCCGUAAGUAUGCCAAGUAUCGACUUGGCUCCUUUAUCUCAGUACCACUGAGUCUCUUAGAUGUUGGCAUUUUUAAGAAUCACAUAUUUCAGUGUCAUAUGUAAACAGGGACAUAGCUUCAGAGAACUAGGUCAGUCAGCUGGGAUUUUGAUAAGGAUUACUUUGAAUCUGUAGCUUCACUAUCUCUUUUAAAGCAAUUCAGACUUGGUUUACUUUUUUUUUUUUUUUUAAUGAAUUUAUUUGUUUGUCUGGGCAUGUGGGAUCUUUAGUUGCCACAUGUGGGAUCUAGUUCCUUGAUCAGGCAUCGAACCAGGGGGACCUGCACUGAGAGCACAGUCUUAGCCACUGGACCACCAGGGAAGUCCCAGUUUGCUCUUAUUUUUGAAUAAAUCUUUGGCACAUAAACAGUAUACUUAAGGUUGUUGUUGAAUAAAGUGAAAACCUAGAUAUGGGCCUCUAUGUGGAUAUUUCAGAGAAGGUGAUGGCACCCUACUCCAGUACUCUUUCCUGGAAAAUCCCAUGGACGGAGGAGCCUGGUAGGCUGCAGUCCAUGGGGUCGCUAAGAGUCAGACAUGACUGAGUGACUUCACUUUCACUUUUCACUUUGAUGCAUUGGAGAAGGAAAUGGCAACCCACUGCAGUGUUCUUGCCUGGAGAAUCCCAGGGGCAGGGGAGUCUGGUGGGCUGCCGUCUCUGGGGUCGCACAGAGUCGGACACGACUGAGGUGACUUAGCAGCAGCAGCAGCAGCAGAUGGAUAUUUGAACCAUGGCAGAAUGGUGAAUCCAGAGCUUCUACUUUGUGAUCACGUCCUAAAGCUUCAUAGCUUAGUUUCCUAUAAUUCUGUCUCUACUGUCCCAUCUAAAAAUAGGGUUUUAGAAUAUUUCCAAUUAUGUUUAAUAGAAACAUAAGUUAUAAUUUUUCUCAUUUAAACUAGUCGAUAUACUCAGUAUCUUAAAAGUCACAUUUUUUUGUUAGGCCACAUUCUAAUCUGAAACAUAGUUUUCAGGUUUAAAUUUAGAUUUGGAUUUUGAAAUCCCUACACACAUCUUGGAGAUUUAAAGAAAUAUGUAACUGGUUUCCAGAAAGCACUUAAAGUCUUAGAAUUUUAGAGCUAGGUAUUUAUUCCGUAGUUUUAUCUUUAAACAGAUGUGGCUUUCCUAAGGAGUGAAGAAAAGGGGAUAUGAUAGAUGAGGGAGCUGUUAAAUGAUUGACCUAAAGUUUGGGUCAUAGACUUUAAUUUUAAGAAAUCAAUUUUUAUUUUUUAAAAAUGUAUGAACUAGAAAGGAGAAAAAUAUCAUGUAAGUUCAAAAAGUCCAUUAUAUAUGUAUAUUCUUAAUAUUUUAGAUUGGUUAAAGAGAUUUCUCUUAAAAACAGAUUUGUAUUUUGUGAUUUAUAUUGGCUUUAUUGUAAAGAAAAACUUCAAUUUAUUUUAUCAGUAGAAUCAAAGGUAUUUUUCCUUAGUAAACGAGUGGUUCCUAUUUCGGUUCAUGAUAGCAAUAAUAAGAACCUACAAGCUAUUUGUGGUGUUUCAGAAAGUCUACAGAAAUUAAAUAUUUAUCAUUCGUAACAUCAGACAGUAAACUAAAACGUCAAAUAUUUUACUGUGGCCCAAAAUCAUGUCAGUUAAGUAUAGCUGUGUUGUUUGUUUGUUACUGGUUAGAAUCCUUAAUUGAUGGUUGUGUAUGUUUCUAAUAAAAUGAAAUUUUUAGUUUCUCUUUAAAACGCUUUAAAAUAUGGGCUCCAAGUAGAGGUAAAAAUAAUAAAGGAAUUCUUUAGGAGCCAAAAUUGGAAACCAUUUUCUAGAAUUGCCUUCCUGUUCCUUCCUUCAAUCUGUUUUUAAAAUGCUCACUGUAGGAAUUCCCUGGUGGUCUAGUGGUCAUGCUCCAAUUCAGGAGGUGCAGAUUCAGUCCCUUCGGGAAACUAAGAUCCCACAUGCUGCCUGACAUGCCACCCAGCGAGGCCAAAAAAAAUUUCUUUUAAUAAGUAAAUAGAUAAGUAAAAUAUCCACUGUGGGAAUUCCCUGGUCAUGUAGUGGUUAGUACUCGAUGCUUUCACUCCCAAGACCUGGGUUCAAUCCCUGGUCAGGGAACUAAGAUCCCCACGAGCCAUGCGGCACAGCCUGAAAAAAAAAAAAAAAAAAGCCCGCUGUA
Molecule: long non-coding RNA, 2392 nt
Organism: Bos grunniens (domestic yak)
Lineage: Eukaryota; Metazoa; Chordata; Mammalia; Artiodactyla; Bovidae
Source: Ensembl